RNAcentral lists this ribosomal RNA (460 nucleotides) under uncultured bacterium. RNAcentral describes it as "partial 16S ribosomal RNA". It matches the Rfam family "Bacterial small subunit ribosomal RNA", at positions 338 to 795 of the family's 1533-position model. The record is from RNAcentral.
CCUACGGGUGGCAGCAGUGAGGAAUAUUGGGCAAUGGGCGAGAGCCUGAAGCAGCCACGCCGCGUGAAGGAUGAAUGCCCUACGGGUGGUAAACUUCUUUUAUAGAGGAAUAAGGUGAGGCAGGUAAGCAGUUGUGUAUGGACUGUACGAAUAAGGAUCGGCUAACUCCGUGCCAGCAGCCGCGGUAAUACGGAGGAUAGGGGCGUUAUCCGGAUUUAUUGAGUUUAAAGGGAGCGUAGAUGGGUUGUUAAGUCAGUUGUGAAAGUUUGCGGCUCAACCGUAAAAUUGCAAUUGAUACUGGCAGCCUUGAGUACAGUUGAGGUAGGCGGAAUUCGUGGUGUAGCAGUGAAAUGCUUAGAUAUCACGAAGAACUCCGAUUGCGAAGGCAGCUUACUAACCUGCCACUGACAUUGAUGCUCGAAAGUGUGGGUAUCAAACAGGAUUAGAUACCCUUGUAGUC